GAAGAUGGAUCCUCCAGCUACAGAGUACAUGUCAUUGUUCAUGAAGCACUUGCCCAACAGGAACUUAAAUAUUAAUUGUGAAAAAACAGCAUGGGACUUGACAAAACAAAACACCCUGCGAGAGAAAUCCUGAGCCUGGAGGAUCUGACAAAGGAGCGUCUUCAUGUACCCCACACAGGGUCAUGUUACUCACCAAGGCAGGGCACUAACAUCACACCAGGUCUUUCAUCAGUGGAUAAUGAAAGGCAGUUGAGACUUUUUGCAGUGAUUUGUAAGUUUUGAAAUUUACUUACAACCACUUAAGAACAUUUAGAUCCGG
This 319-nucleotide long non-coding RNA is filed under the name Homo sapiens (human). RNAcentral describes it as "non-protein coding lnc-SLC10A2-3:1". The record is from RNAcentral. Lineage: Eukaryota; Metazoa; Chordata; Mammalia; Primates; Hominidae.